Long non-coding RNA from Mytilus californianus (California mussel), 355 nucleotides. RefSeq lists it as uncharacterized. The record is from RefSeq and is a predicted model, not a curated record. The transcript is spliced from 2 exons. Lineage: Eukaryota; Metazoa; Mollusca; Bivalvia; Mytilida; Mytilidae.
AUUUUAUACUCUCUGAAAGUGAAAGAUCUUGGAAAAUAUGAAUAAAGAAGUAGAUCAUCGUCAAUUCGCCUGGAAUUGUAACUUAUUUAAUCACUACUUUUGGAUAUUUCUGGGAAUACUUUGCACCAACAUGCACACAACAGGUUUUAAAACUGGCCGUUGGUACAAUAUGCCAAGGGAGGAUAGAACAUGCAACUUGUGUAGAAAUGGUAUUGGAGAUGAAUUUCAUACUUUGUUUAUAUGUAAAAAUUAAUAUACGCCACAAGGUCAAACGCAAAAGUGAUUCAAAUUAAUUGAGUUUUGUACUGUCUUUAUUAUUCAAUUGUGUUUGCAUCAGAUAUAAAUAUUAUUUUAA